AAAGGAUCAGUCGCAGUUUUCAACGUCGCUUGGGGAACAACAUGCCUCAGGGAAGCGUGACAUGAAGAUCCCCUGCAGGAGAGGGAUGAUGACAUAUGCGCACACUCGUGAGGAUGCGUAUCGCUACACUGCCGGAGAUGUGACCCGGGUUUCCACGCUGACCU
Synchiropus splendidus (mandarinfish) is the source of this 164-nucleotide long non-coding RNA. RefSeq lists it as uncharacterized. Lineage: Eukaryota; Metazoa; Chordata; Actinopteri; Syngnathiformes; Callionymidae. The record is from RefSeq and is a predicted model, not a curated record. The transcript has 3 exons.